GUGAAUCAUCGAAUUUUUGAACGCAAAUUGCACUCCCUGGUAUUACGGGGAGUAUGCGUGUUUGAGGGUAGUUAGAAUAAAAAAUCGAUGCGUUACUCUUUUUUUUAAGGGGGAUAGUGUCGGAAUUGAGACGUUUUUAAGAUGUUAAUUCAUGUUAAUGUUGACUGAUAUUAAUCCAUCCGGUGCGAUUGAAGUGUAUUUAAGAUAAAUUUUGAUUGAGUACGCGCGAUGAGGUAGUAUUUCACGUAUU
Molecule: unclassified non-coding RNA, 250 nt
Filed under: Glomeraceae sp.
Lineage: Eukaryota; Fungi; Glomeromycota; Glomeromycetes; Glomerales; Glomeraceae
Description: partial contains 5.8S ribosomal RNA and internal transcribed spacer 2
Rfam family: 5.8S ribosomal RNA (bases 1-71)
Source: RNAcentral